UCUGUACAAAGUCAGAGAAAAGUCAGAAUAAGAAGAAGAAGAAGAAGAAGAAGAGAAAGAGAGUCAGAGACGACGACGGACGAAACGACGCUAUUCUUACGCUUUCUUCGAUCGUCGAUUUGAUUUUUUCCCUUCCUUCU
This 140-nucleotide small RNA is filed under the name Arabidopsis thaliana (thale cress). RNAcentral describes it as "ATSL306850". The record is from RNAcentral. Lineage: Eukaryota; Viridiplantae; Streptophyta; Magnoliopsida; Brassicales; Brassicaceae.